GGGAGCAAACAGGAUUAGAUACCCUGGUAGUCCACGCCCUAAACGAUGUCGACUAGUUGUCGGGCCUUAAUUGGCUUGGUAACGCAGCUAACGCGUGAAGUCGACCGCCUGGGGAGUACGUUCGCAAGAUUAAAACUCAAAGGAAUUGACGGGGACCCGCACAAGCGGUGGAUGAUGUGGAUUAAUUCGAUGCAACGCGAAAAACCUUACCUACCCUUGACAUGUCAGGAACCCUGCUGAGAGGUGGGGGUGCUCGAAAGAGAGCCUGAACACAGGUGCUGCAUGGCUGUCGUCAGCUCGUGUCGUGAGAUGUUGGGUUAAGUCCCGCAACGAGCGCAACCCUUAUCAUUAGUUGCUACGCAAGGGCACUCUAAUGAGACUGCCGGUGACAAACCGGAGGAAGGUGGGGAUGACGUCAAGUCCUCAUGGCCCUUAUGGGUAGGGCUUCACACGUCAUACAAUGGUCGGUACAGAGGGCUGCCAACCCGCGAGGGGGAGCUAAUCCCAGAAAACCGAUCGUAGUCCGGAUCGCAGUCUGCAACUCGACUGCGUGAAGUCGGAAUCGCUAGUAAUCGCGGAUCAGCAUGUCGCGGUGAAUACGUUCCCGGGUCUUGUACACACCGCCCGUCACACCAUGGGAGUG
This 643-nucleotide ribosomal RNA is filed under the name uncultured beta proteobacterium. RNAcentral's name for it is "bacterial SSU rRNA". It matches the Rfam family "Bacterial small subunit ribosomal RNA", at positions 764 to 1412 of the family's 1533-position model. The record is from RNAcentral. Lineage: Bacteria; Pseudomonadati; Pseudomonadota; Betaproteobacteria.